CCUACGGGAGGCUGCAGUGAGGAAUAUUGGUCAAUGGACGAGAGUCUGAACCAGCCAAGUAGCGUGAAGGAUGACUGCCCUAUGGGUUGUAAACUUCUUUUAUAAAGGAAUAAAACGAGGCACGUGUGCCUUUUUGCAUGUACUUUAUGAAUAAGGAUCGGCUAACUCCGUGCCAGCAGCCGCGGUAAUACGGAGGAUCCGAGCGUUAUCCGGAUUUAUUGGGUUUAAAGGGAGCGUAGAUGGGUUGUUAAGUCAGUUGUGAAAGUUUGCGGCUCAACCGUAAAAUUGCAAUUGAUACUGGCAGUCGUGAGUACAGUUGAGGUAGGUGGAAUUCGUGGUGUAGCGGUGAAAUGCUUAGAUAUCACGAAGAACCCCGAUUGCGAAGGCAGCUUACUAAACUGUGACUGACAUUGAUGCUCGAAAGUGUGGGUAUCAAACAGGAUUAGAUACCCGAGUAGUC
Molecule: ribosomal RNA, 460 nt
Filed under: uncultured bacterium
Lineage: Bacteria
Description: partial 16S ribosomal RNA
Rfam family: Bacterial small subunit ribosomal RNA
Source: RNAcentral